RNAcentral lists this ribosomal RNA (460 nucleotides) under uncultured bacterium. RNAcentral describes it as "partial 16S ribosomal RNA". It matches the Rfam family "Bacterial small subunit ribosomal RNA", at positions 338 to 795 of the family's 1533-position model. The record is from RNAcentral.
CCUACGGGAGGCAGCAGUGAGGAAUAUUGGUCAAUGGACGAGAGUCUGAACCAGCCACGUAGCGUGAAGGAUGACUGCCCUAUGGGUUGUAAACUUCUUUUAUAUGGGAAUAAAACGUUCCACGUGUGGGAUUUUGUAUGUACCAUAUGAAUAAGGAUCGGCCAACUCGGUGCCAGCAGCCGCGGUAAUACGGAGGUUCCGAGCGUUAUCCGGAGUUAUUGGGUUUUAAGGGAGCGUAGGUGGAGUGUUAAGUCAGUUGUGAAAGUUUGGGGCUCAACCGUAGAAUUGCAGUUGAAACUGGGGUUGUAGAGUACAGGAGAGGUAGGCGGAAUUCGUAGUGUAGCGGUGAAAUGCUUAGAUAUCAGGAGGAACACCAGUGGCGAAGGCGGUCCGCUGGACGGCAACUGACGCUGAGGCUCGAAAGUGUGGGGAGCAAACAGGAUUAGAUACCCCAGUAGUC